AGUGAAGAGGGAAGAGCUCAAAUUUGAAAUCUGGCAGUGUUUUGCUGUCCGAGUUGUAAUCUAGAGAAGUGCUGCCCGUGCUGGACCAUGUACAAGUCUCCUGGAAUGGAGCGUCACAGAGGGUGAGAAUCCCGUCUUUGACAUGGACUGCCAGUGCAUUUGUGGUGUGCUCUCAAAGAGUCGAGUUGUUUGGGAAUGCAGCUCUAAAUGGGUGGUAAACUCCAUCUAAAGCUAAAUAUUGGCGAGAGACCGAUAGCGAACAAGUACCGUGAGGGAAAGAUGAAAAGAACUUUGGAAAGAGAGUUAAACAGUAUGUGAAAUUGUUGAAAGGGAAACGCUUAAAGUCAGUCGUGUCGGCCAGGGAUCAACUCAGUAUUAUCUGCUGGGUGUACUUCCUGAUCUGAUGGGCCAACAUCAGUUUUGACUGCUGGAGAAGGAUAGAGGGAAUGUGGCACCUUUGGGUGUGUUAUAGCUCUCUGUCGGAUGCAGUGGUUGGGACUGAGGAAUGCAGCAUGCCGCAAGGCCGGGUCGUUUCGACCACGUUCAUGCUGAGGAUGUUGGCAUAAUGGCUUUAAUCGACCCGUCUUGAAACACGGACCAAGGAGUCUAACAUGCCUGCGAGUGUUUGGGUGGCAAACCCRAGUGCGGAAUGAAAGUGAAAGGUUGAGAUCCCUGUCAUGGGGAGCAUCGACGCCCGGACCUGAGCUCAAUGCAAAGGAUCUGCGGUAGAGCAUGUAUGUUAGGACCCGAAAGAUGGUGAACUAUGCCUGAAUAGGGUGAAGCCAGAGGAAACUCUGGUGGAGGCUCGUAGCGAUUCUGACGUGCAAAUCGAUCGUCGAAUUUGGGU
Molecule: ribosomal RNA, 847 nt
Filed under: Amanita griseopantherina
Lineage: Eukaryota; Fungi; Basidiomycota; Agaricomycetes; Agaricales; Amanitaceae
Description: eukaryotic LSU rRNA
Rfam family: Eukaryotic large subunit ribosomal RNA
Source: RNAcentral